RNAcentral lists this long non-coding RNA (607 nucleotides) under Cricetulus griseus (Chinese hamster). RNAcentral's name for it is "lncRNA (ENSCGRG00000025090.1)". The record is from RNAcentral. Lineage: Eukaryota; Metazoa; Chordata; Mammalia; Rodentia; Cricetidae.
AGUCUCUUUCCCUGCUGCGUGUGAAUGGAGAUGUGGAACUCUCAACUUCUCUAGUAACACAUCUGCCUGCCAUGAUGCUAAUAAGCUAAACCUCUGUAAACAAGCCCCCAAUUAAGUGUUUUCUUUUCUAGGAAUUGACUUGGUUAUAGUGUCUCUUCACAGCAAUAGGACAGUGACUGAGACAGGCACAACACUCAGCAGGUGUCUGUGAAAAUUAAAUAGCAUGCCUCUUCUACUUUCAUCCUUCUGCUGUGUUCAUUUCUGUCCAAAGCAAACUGGGGGUGAGGGAGUUUAUUUCAUCUUACAUUUCCAGGUCACUGUCGUGGUCUCUCAGCAUCUGCAGCUGCCUGCAACGGGCACCAGAUGGAGCCUAUCAGCAGUUACCAGGAAUGAGCAGAUGCUCACUGGGCCCUGCCCCUCCCUGCUGAGUCACCAGCUACUAAUGGAUUGUGGGAGAUGGAAAGAUACUGUCUUUAGUCACACAGCCACUGGUAAGCCCAUGGGGCUCCAAGAAAUAAUUCAAAAGUCACGACCGUGCUUAAACUCAGCAAGUCACAAAAAAAAAAGUCCAACUGAUGAAAUACUGGGCAAUUCACUUGUCAAGUAA